UAAGGAAUAUUGGACAAUGGACGAAAGUCUGAUCCAGCCAUGCCGCGUGAAGGAUUAAGGUCCUCUGGAUUGUAAACUUCUUUUAUAUGGGGCGAAAAAAGGGCAUUCUUGCUCACUUGACGGUACCAUAUGAAUAAGCACCGGCUAACUCCGUGCCAGCAGCCGCGGUAAUACGGAGGGUGCAAGCGUUAUCCGGAUUUACUGGUUUAAAGGGUGCGUAGGCUGAUAGGUAAGUCAGUGGUGAAAUCCUGGAGCUUAACUCCAGAACUGCCAUUGAUACUAUCUAUCUUGAAUAUUGUGGAGGUUUGCGGAAUAUGUCAUGUAGCGGUGAAAUGCUUAGAUAUGACAUGGAACACCUAUUGCGAAGGCAGCAGGCUACACAUAUAUUGACGCUGAGGCACG
Molecule: ribosomal RNA, 402 nt
Filed under: uncultured bacterium
Lineage: Bacteria
Description: bacterial SSU rRNA
Rfam family: Bacterial small subunit ribosomal RNA
Source: RNAcentral